UCUUUUUGUGCCGAUCUGUCAACUAACUGGCCGGUGCUAACCCCAUGAUGCCUUGAGGAAACUUGUCAAAUCAAACACAGAAGCCCAUUCACCACUUCGUGUUUAGCCAAACUCGCCCGCCUCGCUCGAGAACAACGGGCAGAAUGUGGACGUAAACAGACGACCGCUGUACAGAAGACUAAGCAUAAUUCCACGCAGACGUUAUCUAUAAACUGCAUAGCAGAUUGUAACCAUCAUCGUUUUCUGUCAAUUCAUCAAAUUAGCGCCAAUUGGUUUCAACACAAUUUUACUGCAUAGGCGGCUAUCGAGUGGGUUUGUCUCCUGAGAGCCAAUAGGGAAGCGAGCCUGCAAAUGGAAAUAAACAUCAAGUUUGCUUGACUCGCAUUCGUAGCCCCGCCUGUAGAACCAGUAGAAUUGUCCAAUGGGAAGUGCAGGAGCGGAGUGGUGUGAUAUGACGUCACAACUGUGAGCCUGGGAUUACAUCAUGAUUUUUGCAGUUUGAAGAGCAACAGGGAAAUUACCCGAUGUCGAUAUGUGUAGUAAUCAAAUUUUAAUUAUUUGAGUCAUCAAAAAGCAAAGUUUAAAAAUAAUUACAAAAUACAUCGUUUUAAAAACAAAUAGUGUCACAUGUACAUAAAGCUUUGCGGCACUUUUUGUCAUAGACAUGUCAAACAUGCCUUUUUGGAACCAUGCCAGUGUUACAACACGCAUGUGUUUAUGGUACGUUGUGGGAGAUUCAACUAUCGAUUGUACUCACAAAAAGUUGAGUAUUUCCUUGUUCACUUACAAUUGGUAUUAAAACAGUCCUCUCCAACAUGAGCCCAAGACCGGCACCUAACAAUUAACAAUUCUUGGUGGCACGUGGCCAACCGAGUUUGGUUUGAUUAAGGCUGCGUUAGACACAUAUAAUCAUAUCAAUAUCAUUUCUAGUAGUAGUGUGGUGAUUAAUAAGUGGAAAGGAAUGUGCAGGCUACAUUAAUUGGUUUUCUUCAAAGUAUUGUGGAACAGGAUGUCCAGACAGGGAGGACAUCUCAAGGCCGAUGGGGAACGCGAAUAACAACUCGUCUUUGUGGUCCAGACACCUGUGCUGAGCAGGGGAAAACCCAAACGAGGAGGAGAUGACCAUCAACCAUCGACCAAUCACCACACAAUAUUUUGCAUGCUUGAAUAUUCAUAUUGUGUUUCUUUAAAACUGGGCAACUCGGAAGAAUGUGUUGUCUCUGAUGGCGCCUGUAUUAGCUUGCUUUGUCAGGAUUAAACAAUUGGUAAAUUCGGCCUAAUUGAUA
Long non-coding RNA from Syngnathus typhle (broad-nosed pipefish), 1286 nucleotides. RefSeq lists it as uncharacterized. The record is from RefSeq and is a predicted model, not a curated record. The transcript has 2 exons. Lineage: Eukaryota; Metazoa; Chordata; Actinopteri; Syngnathiformes; Syngnathidae.